AGUGAACGCUGGCGGUAGGCCUAACAUAUGCAAGUCGAACGGCAGCACAGUAAGAGCUUGCUCUUACGGGUGGCGAGUGGCGGACGGGUGAGGAAUACAUCGGAAUCUACUUUUUCGUGGGGGAUAACGUAGGGAAACUUACGCUAAUACCGCAUACGACCUACGGGUGAAGGCAGGGGAUCUUCGGACCUUGCGCGAUUGAAUGAGCCGAUGUCGGAUUAGCUAGUUGGCGGGGUAAAGGCCCACCAAGGCGACGAUCCGUAGCUGGUCUGAGAGGAUGAUCAGCCACACUGGAACUGAGACACGGUCCAGACUCCUACGGGAGGCAGCAGUGGGGAAUAUUGGACAAUGGGCGCAAGCCUGAUCCAGCCAUACCGCGUGGGUGAAGAAGGCCUUCGGGUUGUAAAGCCCUUUUGUUGGGAAAGAAAAGCAGCAGGUUAAUACCCCGCUGUUCUGACGGUACCCAAAGAAUAAGCACCGGCUAACUUCGUG
RNAcentral lists this ribosomal RNA (492 nucleotides) under uncultured bacterium. RNAcentral's name for it is "partial 16S ribosomal RNA". It matches the Rfam family "Bacterial small subunit ribosomal RNA", at positions 29 to 507 of the family's 1533-position model. The record is from RNAcentral.